AUUGAACGCUGGCGGAAUGCUUUACACAUGCAAGUCGAACGGCAGCACGGACUUCGGUCUGGUGGCGAGUGGCGAACGGGUGAGUAAUGUAUCGGAACGUGCCCAGUCGUGGGGGAUAACGUAGUGAAAAUUACGCUAAUACCGCAUACGAUCUAUGGAUGAAAGCGGGGGAUCGCAAGACCUCGCGCGAUUGGAGCGGCCGAUAUCAGAUUAGGUAGUUGGUGGGGUAAAGGCCCACCAAGCCAACGAUCUGUAGCUGGUCUGAGAGGACGACCAGCAACACUGGAACUGAGACACGGUCCAGACUCCUACGGGAGGCAGCAGUGGGGAAUUUUGGACAAUGGGCGAAAGCCUGAUCCAGCCAUUCCGCGUGCAGGAUGAAGGCCCUCGGAUUGUAAACUGCUUUUGUACAGAACGAAAAGGUUUCUACUAAUACUAGGAGCUCAUGACGGUACUGUAAGAAUAAGCACCAGCUAACUACGUGCCAGCCGCCGCCGUAA
RNAcentral lists this ribosomal RNA (500 nucleotides) under uncultured bacterium. Its description in RNAcentral is "partial 16S ribosomal RNA". It matches the Rfam family "Bacterial small subunit ribosomal RNA", at positions 30 to 523 of the family's 1533-position model. The record is from RNAcentral.